Condylura cristata (star-nosed mole) is the source of this 474-nucleotide non-coding RNA. The record is from the annotation of a RefSeq genome assembly. Lineage: Eukaryota; Metazoa; Chordata; Mammalia; Eulipotyphla; Talpidae.
AAGCCAAGUGGUAGUAGAAUGGAACAGUUCCUGGGAGUUGUGAUUUUGUGUCUUCUAGUGGGCUGGGUGAGCGGCCAGCAGAUGAAACAGAGUCCACAGUCCCUGAGCAUCGAGGAGGGUGAAAAGGCUGUUCUGACCUGUAACUUUACUAAUUAUUCUCCAAUACUCGUACACUGGUACCGACAAGAUCUGGGACAAGGCCUCGUCUUCUUGGUACUGAUACGUGAAAAUGAGGCUGAGAAGCAGGCAGAAAGACUGAGGGUCACCUUUGAGACCACCCUCAAAAAGAGCACCUUGCAGAUUCCUGCCUCCCAGCCCACAGACUCAGCCACCUAUUUCUGUGCCGGAGACGCACAGCUGGGGCCAGCCACCAGCUUCCUGCACACAAACCCUGCCACACCCCCACAGCCCACAGAGCUGCAGGCUGUCUCUCCAAGCUCAGUUUCUGGAAAAAAUAAAGUGGGGGCCACCUGA